AGAACGAACGCUGGCGGCAUGCCUAAUACAUGCAAGUCGAACGAACACUUCGGUGUUAGUGGCGCACGGGUGCGUAACGCGUGGGAAUCUGCCCUUGGGUUCGGAAUAACAGUUGGAAACGACUGCUAAUACCGGAUGAUAUCGAAAGAUCAAAGAUUUAUCGCCCAGGGAUGAGCCCGUGUAGGAUUAGCUAGUUGGUGAGGUAAAGGCUCACCAAGGCGACGAUCCUUAGCUGGUCUAAGAGGAUGAUCAGCCACACUGGGACUGAGACACGGCCCAGGACUCCGUACGGGAGGCAGCAGUAGGGAAUAU
Molecule: ribosomal RNA, 312 nt
Filed under: uncultured soil bacterium
Lineage: Bacteria
Description: bacterial SSU rRNA
Rfam family: Bacterial small subunit ribosomal RNA
Source: RNAcentral